CCUACGGGUGGCUGCAGUUUGGAAUCUUGCCCAAUGGGGGAAACCCUGAGGCAGCGACGCCGCGUGGAGGAUGAAGGAUCUAGGUCUGUAAACUCCUUUUAUCGGGAAAGACUUAGGACGGUACCCGAUGAAUAAGCACCGGCUAACUACGUGCCAGCAGCCGCGGUAAGACGUAGGGUGCAAGCGUUGUCCGGAUUUACUGGGCGUAAAGGACGCGUAGGCGGUUCGUUAAGUGUGAAGUGAAAUCUCCAGGGCUCAACCCGGAAACUGCUUUACAUACUGGCGGACUGGAGGGAUGCAGAGGUAAGUAGAAUUCCUGGUGUAGCGGUGAAAUGCGUUGAUAUCAGGAGGAAUACCGAUGGCGAAGGCAGCUUACUGGGCAUCAUCUGACGCUGAGGCGUGAAAGCGUGGGUAGCAAACAGGAUUAGAUACCCCAGUAGUC
RNAcentral lists this ribosomal RNA (442 nucleotides) under uncultured bacterium. RNAcentral describes it as "partial 16S ribosomal RNA". It matches the Rfam family "Bacterial small subunit ribosomal RNA", at positions 338 to 795 of the family's 1533-position model. The record is from RNAcentral.